RNAcentral lists this ribosomal RNA (377 nucleotides) under uncultured Acidobacteriota bacterium. Its description in RNAcentral is "bacterial SSU rRNA". It matches the Rfam family "Bacterial small subunit ribosomal RNA", at positions 521 to 896 of the family's 1533-position model. Lineage: Bacteria; Pseudomonadati; Acidobacteriota. The record is from RNAcentral.
UAAUACGGGGGGGGCAGGCGUUGUUCGGAAUUACUGGGCGUAAAGGGCUCGUAGGCGGCCAGCCAAGCCGGACGUGAAAUCCCUCGGCUUAACCGGGGAACUGCGUCCGAUACUGGUUAGCUUGAAGCCGGGAGAGGGAUGCGGAAUUCCAGGUGUAGCGGUGAAAUGCGUAGAUAUCUGGAGGAACACCGGUGGCGAAGGCGGCAUCCUGGACCGGUCUUGACGCUGAGGAGCGAAAGCUAGGGGAGCAAACGGGAUUAGAUACCCCGGUAGUCCUAGCCCUAAACGAUGAAUGCUUGGUGUGGCGGGUAUCGAUCCCUGCCGUGCCGGAGCUAACGCGUUAAGCAUUCCGCCUGGGGAGUACGGUCGCAAGGCUG